GAUGAACGCUGGCGGCGUGCCUAAUACAUGCAAGUCGAGCGAACAGACGAGGAGCUUGCUUCUCUGACGUUAGCGGCGGACGGGUGAGUAACACGUGGAUAACCUACCUAUAAGACUGGGAUAACUUCGGGAAACCGGAGCUAAUACCGGAUAAUAUAUUGAACCGCAUGGUUCAAUAGUGAAAGACGGUUUUGCUGUCACUUAUAGAUGGAUCCGCGCCGUAUUAGCUAGUUGGUAAGGUAACGGCUUACCAAGGCAACGAUGCGUAGCCGACCUGAGAGGGUGAUCGGCCACACUGGAACUGAGACACGGUCCAGACUCCUACGGGAGGCAGCAGUAGGGAAUCUUCCGCAAUGGGCGAAAGCCUGACGGAGCAACGCCGCGUGAGUGAUGAAGGUCUUCGGAUCGUAAAACUCUGUUAUUAGGGAAGAACAAAUGUGUAAGUAACUAUGCACGUCUUGACGGUACCUAAUCAGAAAGCCACGGCUAACUACGUG
RNAcentral lists this ribosomal RNA (497 nucleotides) under uncultured bacterium. RNAcentral describes it as "partial 16S ribosomal RNA". It matches the Rfam family "Bacterial small subunit ribosomal RNA", at positions 28 to 507 of the family's 1533-position model. The record is from RNAcentral.